UUAUGAACAACGCAAAUUAUCACGUUCUCGAGGACAAAUUUUGGUGCGAGGUAGCUCAAUUUUUUUGCGGACGCCCAAGACCACUGAAGUUCCUCGAACAGAAUGAAGACGAAAAUCCCAGCGAACAAUCUUGGGUGCGGUGCUUCCCUGUCCUUAUUUGGGCAAUGGGGAGGAUCGCAAUGAUUGAGCGCACAU
RNAcentral lists this small RNA (195 nucleotides) under Pseudomassariella vexata. RNAcentral describes it as "A. fumigatus sRNA Afu_182". It matches the Rfam family "A. fumigatus sRNA Afu_182". The record is from Rfam by way of RNAcentral. Lineage: Eukaryota; Fungi; Ascomycota; Sordariomycetes; Amphisphaeriales; Pseudomassariaceae.